This is a long non-coding RNA of Coturnix japonica (Japanese quail), 2301 nucleotides long. NCBI's taxonomy places the organism in Eukaryota, Metazoa, Chordata, Aves, Galliformes, Phasianidae. The record is from Ensembl.
GAUCCCACUGAUGAUCCCAUCCAUCCCAAUGAUCCCACCGAUGAUCCCAUCCAUAAUGAUCCCACUGAUGAUCCCAUCCAUCCCAAUUCUCCCACAGAUGAUCCCAUCCAUCCCAAUGAUCCCACAGAUGAUCCCAUCCAUCCCAAUGAUCCCACUGAUGAUCCCAUCCAUCCCGAUGACCCCACAGAUGAUCCCAUCCAUCCCAAUUCUCCCACAGAUGAUCCCAUCCAUCUCGGCGAUCCCACCCAUCCGCAGUCCCAUGUCACUCUCCGAUGCCAUGACACCAGUGGUGAUCCCACUCAUCCCACUGAUUAUCCCAGCAAUCCCACCCAUCACACUGAUCCCAUCAGCACACUGAUCCCACUGACGCCACUGAUGAUCCCACCAGGGAUCCCACCAAUGAUCCCAUCAGGGACCCCACCCGUGUCACCCAUCGAUGCCAUGAUCCCACCGAUGAUCCCACAUUGGACCCCACCCGUGUCACCCAUUGAUGUCCUGAUCCACUGAUGACCCCACCAAUGAUCCCACCAAUGACCCCACCAUGGACCCCACUCAUCCCACCCAUCCCCUCCAUCCCAGUGAUCCCAUGCAUCCCACGGAUGAUCCCAUCCACUCCAAUGAUCCCAUUAAUCCCAGUGAUAGCAUCCGAUCCCCACUGGUUCGCCAUGAUUGAUCCACCAGUUGGAUUCCACCAUGUCACCCACCAAUGCCAUGAUCCCACUGGUGACCCCACCAUGGAUCCCACUGAUGACACCGCCAUGGACCCCACCCAUGUCACCCGCGAUCUGCCACGAUCCCACCAAUAUCCCACAAUUUGGACCCACCCGUGUCACCCAUUGACUGUCCUGGAUCCACUGAUGACCCCACUAAUGGAUCCCACCUGUGUCACCCAUCGAUGCCACGAUCCCACCAAUGAUCCCACUGAUGACCCCACCAAUGAUCCCACCAAUGAUCCCACCAUGUCACCCACCAAUGCCAUGAUCCCACUGGUGACCCCACCAAUGAUCCCACUGAUGACCCCACCAAUGAUCCCACCAACGAUCCCACUCGUGUCACCCAUCAAUGCCAUGAUCCCACCAGUGACCCCACCAAUGAUCCCACCCAUGUCACCCAUCAAUGCCAUGAUCCCACUGAUGUCCCCACCAAUGACCCCACCAAUGAUCCCACCCAUCCCGUGGCUGAUCCCAUCCACCCCAAUGAUCCCAUUAAUCCCAGUGACAGCAUCGAUCCCACUGGUGCCACCAAUGGUCCCAUUUGUGACCCCACCCGUGUCACCCCCUGAAGCCACGACCCCACACUGAACCCGUCCAUCCCCCCAGAGACCCCGGACAGCUCAGACAUGCAGCCGUCCCGUCACCCCACACAUCCCACUGAUGAGCCCACUCAUGUCAAACACUGACCCCAUCACCCCACCCCUCAUCCCACCCAUCCCACUGAUGGUCCCACCCACCCCACUGAUGAUCCCACUCAUGUCAACUACUGAUCCCAUCACCCCACCCCACUGAUGUUCCCACCCAUCCCACUGAUGACCCCACUCAUGUCACCCAGUGAUCCCAUCACCCCACCCCUCAUCCCACCCACCCCACUGAUGGUCCCACCCCACUGAUGGUCCCACCUACCCCACUGAUGGUCCCACUCAUCCCACUGAUGGUCCCACACAACCCACCCAUCCCACUGAUGAUCCCACUCAUGUCACCCAGUGAUCCCAUCACCCCACCCCUCAUCCCACCCACCCCACUGAUGGUCCCAUCCCACUGAUGUUCCCACCCACCCCACUGAUGACCCCACUCAUGUCACCCACUGAUCCCAUCACCCCACCCAUCAUCCCACCCAUCCCACUCACCCCACUGAUGGUCCCAACCAUCCCACUGAUGGUUCCACCCCACUGAUGGUCCCACCCAUUUCACUGAUGGUCCCACCCACCCCACUGAUUGUCCCACCCCUCCCAGCGAUCCCAUUGAUGCCACCGAUAACCCCAGCCAUUCCACCAUCCCAUAAUCCCACCGAGGAUCCCAACCAUCCCAAUGAUGACCCCAUUCAUCCCAAUAAUCCCACCCAUCCCACCCCAUCCAUCCCACUGACCCCCUCCAUCCCAUCCAACCCAAUAGUGACCCCAUUCAUCCCACUGAUCCUACCCAUCCCAUCCCAUCCCAUCCCAUCCCAUCCGUCCCACUGACCCCACCCAUCCCAAUGAUGACCCCACCCAUCCCAUCAUCGCACCCAUCCCACUGACCCCACCCACCCCAGUGAUGACCCCUUCCCAUUAUCCCAUCACCCCACCCAUCCCAAUGGUGACCCCCC